GAGGGAAUCGUCGAAGGUGGGACUGGCGAUUGGGACGAAGUCGUAACAAGGUAGCCGUACCGGAAGGUGCGGCUGGAUCACCUCCUUUCUAAGGAGCA
This 98-nucleotide ribosomal RNA is filed under the name Streptomyces alkaliterrae. Its description in RNAcentral is "partial 16S ribosomal RNA". The stretch from base 1 to 88 matches the Rfam family "Bacterial small subunit ribosomal RNA", at positions 1446 to 1533 of the family's 1533-position model. The record is from RNAcentral. Lineage: Bacteria; Bacillati; Actinomycetota; Actinomycetes; Kitasatosporales; Streptomycetaceae.